AUGAGGAGGAGGCACAUCAGGGAUGAUGCUAUAUGCCCAAUGUGUGGGAGCGACGAUGAGUCCUUAUUUCAUGCACUAUUCCGGUGCGAUCACGCAUUGAUGUUCUGGGAGGCGGCCAAGGAUUCUUUUGGCCUUACAGUGCCGAGACUGCACCCAUUGACAUGGUCUAAGGAUAUACUGGACCAUGAGGUGAUUAAAAGGAAGGAUGCAGCAGUUCUGGUGUCAGUCAUGUGGGCAAUUUGGACGAACCGUAACAAGUAUACGCAUAAUGAGAUUCAGUACCAGCCGAUCAAAUCAAUGGAAUUAAUUAGAGAACUCAUUAUGGCGAUUGAUGUCCCUAAUACCACUGCUGUCAAAUCCAUAGAAAGGCAGAAGUCGAAGGCGCCAGCUCAGGGGUGGGUGAAGAUGAAUACUGAUGGAGCAGUACAUGAGACUAAUACGUGCUCAGGAGAGGGCAUAGUAGUAAGGGAUCAACAGGGUGUAUUCAGACUGGGGCAGUGCAUCAAAUAG
Molecule: ribosomal RNA, 510 nt
Filed under: Triticum aestivum (bread wheat)
Lineage: Eukaryota; Viridiplantae; Streptophyta; Magnoliopsida; Poales; Poaceae
Description: partial small subunit ribosomal RNA
Source: RNAcentral